This 405-nucleotide ribosomal RNA is filed under the name uncultured bacterium. Its description in RNAcentral is "bacterial SSU rRNA". It matches the Rfam family "Bacterial small subunit ribosomal RNA", at positions 354 to 776 of the family's 1533-position model. The record is from RNAcentral.
GUGGGGAAUAUUGCACAAUGGAGGAAACUCUGAUGCAGCGACGCCGCGUGAAGGAUGAAGUAUUUCGGUAUGUAAACUUCUAUCAGCAGGGAAGAAGAUGACGGUACCUGACUAAGAAGCCCCGGCUAACUACGUGCCAGCAGCCGCGGUAAUACGUAGGGGGCAAGCGUUAUCCGGAUUUACUGGGUGUAAAGGGAGCGUAGACGGCCUGGCAAGCCAGAUGUGAAAGCCCGGGGCUCAACCCCGGGACUGCAUUUGGAACUGCCAUGCUAGAGUGUCGGAGAGGCAAGUGGAAUUCCUAGUGUAGCGGUGAAAUGCGUAGAUAUUAGGAGGAACACCAGUGGCGAAGGCGGCUUGCUGGACGAUGACUGACGUUGAGGCUCGAAAGCGUGGGGAGCAAACAGG